This 1761-nucleotide long non-coding RNA is filed under the name Salmo salar (Atlantic salmon). RNAcentral's name for it is "lncRNA (ENSSSAG00000107283.1)". The record is from RNAcentral. Lineage: Eukaryota; Metazoa; Chordata; Actinopteri; Salmoniformes; Salmonidae.
GUUGACUCAGUUUUUAUCUGCAGUAAAAGAUAUCAAACAGUGAUGACAGGCAUUGACAGGACAGUCACAUGUUCACUGCUCUCAGACUGAAUCGACAAAGUGAUUGUAUAAUAUACAUGCGUUGUGUUUAGAAAAUAACAAAAAAAUACAGAAAAGCAGUAAAAUAAAACAGUUAUGACAGGCACUGACAGGACGGUCACAGCCACACGUUCACUGGUUAGGUAGGACACAAGAUAUCAUUUAGAUAGGAGCAACAGUAGUGAUACAUGGUUAGGUAGGACACAAGAUAUAAUUUAGAUAGGAGCAACAGUAGUGAUACAUGGUUAGGUAGGACACAAGAUAUCAUUUAGAUAGGAGCAACAGUAGUGAUACAUGGUUAGGUAGGACACAAGAUAUCAUUUAGAUAGGAGCAACAGUAGUGAUACAUGCCCUCAAUGUGAAGUGAUAUUAAUCCAUAAAUACAGAGCACAAGUACAACCCUUUUUAUAUAAACAUUUGAAGGUUGUAAGAAAAUAAACAUGAAGUUAAUAUUUCAAUAAGUCACCUGCUAGUAAAUCACCUGCUGGUAAUAGCUGCGUGACACAUUGUAGUGCAGUGACCAACGGUGCUAGUUAGCUCGUCAUUAACACGGCUAGCUAAACAAGCAGAAACCUGGUUAACUUGCUGAAAUAGGUCUUCAAUUUAUGAACGGCAAAAUAAAUAUAUACAUAGCCACAUUCGCCAUUGACUUUAGGAUAUAUGAACCAGUUUUCCAAAACCACUAUUGUGUUAUAGAGUUUUAAACAGUUUUUAUAUAAAGAGGAAGAGGACUGGAACCUGCUGUCAGAAUAUCUCUCUCAGCCUGAGGAGCAGGCAGACCAACUUCCCAAAUAGGGUAGAACCAGUGCUGUCACAAUGUUGCACAUAUGUAAAUAUGUUGUUUACUGAUCUCCUCUCCAUUCUAGCACCAUACGUUCUGUUGUUUACUGAUCUCCUCUCCAUUCUAGCACCAUACGUUCUGUUGUUUACUGAUCUCCUCUCCAUUCUAGCACCAUAUGUUCUUCAGAAGCUGGUCAGCAUAUGAAUAGAAUCCAUCUUCUCUCACCGUCUCCCCACAAGACCUACAUCACACAAGAUGCUUCAGAAUAACAACAACAAGCUGGUGAAGUUACUACCCAACAGGAACAGCCAUGACAACAACAACAAGCUGGUGAAGUUGCUACCCAACAGGAACAGCCAUGACAACAACAACAAGCUGGUGAAGUUGCUACCCAACAGGAACAGCCAUGACAACAACAACAAGCUGGUGAAGUUGCUACCCAACAGGAACAGCCAUGACAACAACAACAAGCUGGUGAAGUUGCUACCCAACAGGAACAACCAUGACAACAACAACAAGCUGGUGAAGUUACUACCCAACAGGAACAACCAUGACAACAACAACAAGCUGGUGAAGUUACUACCCAACAGGAACAACCAUGACAACAACAACAAGCUGGUGAAGUUACUACCCAACAGGAACAACCAUGACAACAACAACAAGCUGGUGAAGUUACUACCCAACAGGAACAACCAUGACAACAACAACAACAACAAGCUGGUGAAGUUGCUACCCAACAGGAACAACCAUGACAACAACAACAAGCUGGUGAAGUUGCUACCCAACAGGAACAACCAUGACAACAACAACAAGCUGGUGAAGUUGCUACCCAACAGGAACAACCAUGACAACAACAACAAGCUGGUGAAGUUACUACCCAACAGGAACAACCAUGACAACAA